Molecule: ribosomal RNA, 445 nt
Filed under: uncultured bacterium
Lineage: Bacteria
Description: bacterial SSU rRNA
Rfam family: Bacterial small subunit ribosomal RNA
Source: RNAcentral
CCUACGGGCGGCUGCAGUCGAGAAUCUUCCGCAAUGGGCGAAAGCCUGACGGAGCGACGCCGCGUGGAGGAUGAAGUCCUUCGGGACGUAAACACCUUUUAUGAGGGAAGAAGUUUAUUGACGGUACCUCAGGAAUAAGGGGUUGCUAAACUCGUGCCAGCAGCAGCGGUAAUACGAGUGCCCCAAGCGUUAUCCGGAAUCAUUGGGCGUAAAGGGUGCGUAGGCGGUUGUGUUAGUCUCCUGUGAAAGCUCCCGGCUUAACCGGGAAUGGGCGGGAGAAACGGCACAACUUAGAGCAGGUGAGAGGUCAGUAGAACUCAUGGUGUAGGGGUGAAAUCCGUUGAUAUCAUGGGGAAUACCAAAAGCGAAGGCAGCUGACUGGCGCCGAGCUGACGCUGAGGCACGAAAGCGUGGGUAGCGAACGGGAUUAGAUACCCGGGUAGUC